This 253-nucleotide ribosomal RNA is filed under the name uncultured bacterium. Its description in RNAcentral is "partial 16S ribosomal RNA". It matches the Rfam family "Bacterial small subunit ribosomal RNA", at positions 524 to 776 of the family's 1533-position model. The record is from RNAcentral.
UACGUAGGGGGCAAGCGUUGUCCGGAAUCAUUGGGCGUAAAGCGCGUGUAGGCGGUCCGGUAAGUCCUCUGUGAAAGUCCAGGGCUCAACCCUGGGAUGCCGGUGGAUACUGUCGGGCUCGAGUCCGGAAGAGGCGAGUGGAAUUCCUGGUGUAGCGGUGAAAUGCGCAGAUAUCAGGAGGAACACCAAUGGCGAAAGCGGCUUCCUGGACCAGUACCGACGUUCAGGCACGAAAGCGUGGGGAGCAAACAGG